GGCUCUUUGAAAUAAAUAUAUAAAGAGUCGAACCUGCCCAGUGAUUUUUUAAACGGCCGCGGUACUCUGACCGUGCAAAGGUAGCAUAAUCAUUUGCCCUAUAAUUGAGGGCUAGUAUGAACGGUUUGACAAGAGCAUAACUGUCUCUUUAAAAUUUUAUAAAAUUUGGUUUUUAGGUGAAGAAACCUAAAUGAAAUUGAAAGACAAGAAGACCCUAUCGAGCUUUAGAGUAAUUAAUUAAAAAAUAUGAUUAAAAUAAUUAAUUUUAAUUUAAAAACUUUGGUUGGGGCGACUGAGGAACAUAUAAAGCUUCUUCUAUUAAAAUGUGCCUGUAAGCUAUGAUCCAAAAAUUUUGAUUAAAAAAAUUAGUUACCGUAGGGAUAACAGCAUAAUCUUUUUCAAGAGUUCUUAUCGAAAAAAAGGUUUGUGACCUCGAUGUUGGACUAGGAUAUCCUAAAGAUGCAGAAGUCUUUAAAAGUUGGUCUGUUCGACCAUUAAAAUCCU
RNAcentral lists this ribosomal RNA (504 nucleotides) under Neotricula aperta. Its description in RNAcentral is "partial 16S large subunit ribosomal RNA". It matches the Rfam family "Bacterial large subunit ribosomal RNA", at positions 1817 to 2597 of the family's 2925-position model. The record is from RNAcentral. Lineage: Eukaryota; Metazoa; Mollusca; Gastropoda; Littorinimorpha; Pomatiopsidae.